AACGAACGCUGGCGGCGCGCUUAACACAUGCAAGUCGAACGAGAAGGCGUAGCAAUACGCUUGUACAGUGGCGAACGGGUGAGUAAUACGUGGGCGACCUACCCUCGAGUGGGGAAUAACCCGCCGAAAGGCGGGCUAAUGCCGCGUACGCUUCCAUCUUUAUGGAGGUGGAAGGAAAGCCGUGCCGUGGGCACGGCGCUCAAGGAUGGGCUCACGUCCUAUCAGCUUGUUGGAGGGUAACGGCCUACCAAGGCUCCGACGGGUAGCUGGUCUGAGAGGACGAUCAGCCACACUGGCACUGCGACACGGGCCAGACUCCUACGGGAGGCAGCAGUGAGGAAUAUUGCGCAAUGGGCGAAAGCCUGACGCAGCGACGCCGCGUGGGGGAUGAAGGUCUUCGGAUUGUAAACCCCUUUCGGGUAGGGAAGAUGGGACGGGCAACCGUUCGGACGGUACCUCCAGAAGCAGCCACGGCUAACUUCGUGCCAGCAGCAGCCGCCGUAAU
This 505-nucleotide ribosomal RNA is filed under the name uncultured bacterium. Its description in RNAcentral is "bacterial SSU rRNA". It matches the Rfam family "Bacterial small subunit ribosomal RNA", at positions 29 to 524 of the family's 1533-position model. The record is from RNAcentral.